AUGAUCCGCCUGUUGUUGAACUGCUUCGUGUCGGCCACGGGCCUCGUUACCAAUAUGGACAAGAGCUCUGCCUUGCCUAUUCGCUGCGGCGGCCUGGACCUUCCGCACAUUCUUUCGCCGCUAGGGAUUCCAAUCAAAUCUUUUCCGACGACUUAUCUUGGCAUGCCCCUUUCACUUCCGAAUCUGAACAAAGUGGACCUGGACCCCUUCCUCAUAAAAUUCGGAAACAAGGCCGCUGGAUGGAAGGGUGACUUGAUGGCAAAGAGCGGCAGGUUGGUGUUACUGAAGACAGGGCUGACCUCACUGGCUAUAUAUAUGAUGACCGUGCACAAAUUACCAGCCUGGGUGAUAAAGCGCAUGUCGCAGAUUUGUCGUGCCUGGCUAUGGAACGGGGACAAUACCUGCAACGGUGGGAAUUGCAGGGUGGCCUGGAGCUUGAUCUGCCGCCCCAAACAUCUUGGUGGCCUGGGUGUCCUUGACAUUGCCAAAUUCGGUCGGGCUCUUAGGCUACGCUAG
This 516-nucleotide ribosomal RNA is filed under the name Triticum aestivum (bread wheat). Its description in RNAcentral is "partial small subunit ribosomal RNA". Lineage: Eukaryota; Viridiplantae; Streptophyta; Magnoliopsida; Poales; Poaceae. The record is from RNAcentral.